CAGUUCGGAUUGCAGGCUGCAACCCGCCUGCAUGAAGUUGGAAUUGCUAGUAAUCGCGGAUCAGCAUGCCGCGGUGAAUACGUUCCCUGGCCUUGUACACACCGCCCGUCACACCAUGGGAGCCGGUAAUACCCGAAGUCAGUAGCCUAACCGCAAGGGGGGCGCUGCCGAAGGUAGGAUUGGCGACUGGGGUGAAGUCGUAACAAGGUAAC
RNAcentral lists this ribosomal RNA (212 nucleotides) under uncultured bacterium. Its description in RNAcentral is "partial 16S ribosomal RNA". It matches the Rfam family "Bacterial small subunit ribosomal RNA", at positions 1289 to 1500 of the family's 1533-position model. The record is from RNAcentral.